CUGGCCUACUGAGCUCCUCCAGAAUUCUGCGUGUGUUGCUUUGGAUUUCCAGCAUGGGCAGGGUCGCUCGUGUUCCGAAGUUCGGGUGCUAUGUAGCAGUUUUGCAAGACUCUGAUUCUGGUUAAGCUCUGUCGAGAGAUGAGAUGGACUGCAAAUAGUGGUCAGAUCAAUUUUAUUUGCGCAGAAACACAGAAACACAAGAGAAACCAAGACUGAAAAACUGACAAAAAACACAUAAUUAUAACGUAUAGUUACAACAGUGCAAAGCAAUACCGUAAUUUGAUAAAGAACAGACCAUGGGCACGGUAAAAAAAAAAGUCUCAAAGUCUCUCGAAAGUCCCAUCAUCUCACGCAGACGGUAGAAGGAAGAGAAACUCUCUUCCUGCCAUGAACCUCCAGCGCCGCAAACUUGCCGAUGCAGCAUCCUGGAAGCACCCGACCACAGCCAACUCUUGAGUCCGUCUGAAAACUUCGAGCCUCCGACCAGCCCUCCGACACCGAGCACUGAGCACCAUCUCUGCCGAGCGCUUCGACCCCAGCCCCGGCAACAGGCAAUAGGCAAAACUGAGGAUUUGGGGCCUUCUCCUUUGAAGAUUCUCGAUCGCACAGUAGCAGCGGCAGUGAAGCAGGCAUUUCAGAAGUUUCUCCAGAUUUCCUGCGUGCUUCUCACGGCUGUCUCCAUCAAAUCAGGAUUGUGCACGGUACCUACUUACAAGUACGAUAUCAUUUUGGUGCGGCCGCGUGCGCUGCAUCGCGCCGCCACCUUCUCCUUCCCCCCGAAUUUUUAUGUGUUUACAGAUGUGGAUAUGGAUAUGGAUUUGGAUGAUGGACUAUGCACAUUUUUCAAUUCAUAUAGUUUUUCAUAUUCUGUGUUCUUUGCCUGUUCUUUCUUGUCUUUCUUAGUGAGGGGGAGGGGGAUUUGGUGGUCAACGUUCUUGUGACAUUUUGUACAGAGGGAUGGGAUGUCUGCAGGUCAAUGUUCUUGUUGCAUUUUUGUUCUUUUCUCUUGUGUUGGUCGGGGGAUUUGGGGGUUGAUAAUUGUGUUGCCUUUUUUUUGUUGGUUUUGUGGCUAUCUGGGGAAGAAGAAUCUCAGAGUUGUAUACUUUGAUAUUAAAUGAACCUUUGAUCAUUUGAUAUACAUAGUUUGACAAUAAGUUUACUUUUAA
Molecule: long non-coding RNA, 1166 nt
Organism: Mobula hypostoma (lesser devil ray)
Lineage: Eukaryota; Metazoa; Chordata; Chondrichthyes; Myliobatiformes; Myliobatidae
Exons: 3
Source: RefSeq, a predicted model, not a curated record